RNAcentral lists this ribosomal RNA (253 nucleotides) under uncultured bacterium. RNAcentral describes it as "partial 16S ribosomal RNA". It matches the Rfam family "Bacterial small subunit ribosomal RNA", at positions 524 to 776 of the family's 1533-position model. The record is from RNAcentral.
GACGAACCGUGCAAACGUUGUUCGGAAUCACUGGGCUUAAAGGGCGCGUAGGCGGGUCACCAAGUCCGAGGUGAAAUCUUUCGGCUCAACCGGAAAAGGGCCUUGGAUACUGGUGGUCUUGAGUGAGGUGGGGGCAUGUGGAACUUCCGGUGGAGCGGUGAAAUGCGUUGAUAUCGGGAGGAACUCAGGUGGCGAAAGCGACGUGCUGGACCUCUUCUGACGCUGAGGCGCGAAAGCUAGGGGAGCAAACGGG